RNAcentral lists this transfer RNA (73 nucleotides) under Bacteroidales bacterium. RNAcentral describes it as "tRNA-Lys". It matches the Rfam family "tRNA". From Rfam's summary of the family: Transfer RNA (tRNA) molecules are approximately 80 nucleotides in length. Their secondary structure includes four short double-helical elements and three loops (D, anti-codon, and T loops). Further hydrogen bonds mediate the characteristic L-shaped molecular structure. tRNAs have two regions of fundamental functional importance: the anti-codon, which is responsible for specific mRNA codon recognition, and the 3' end, to which the tRNAs corresponding amino acid is attached (by aminoacyl-tRNA synthetases). tRNAs cope with the degeneracy of the genetic code in two manners: having more than one tRNA (with a specific anti-codon) for a particular amino acid; and 'wobble' base-pairing, i.e. permitting non-standard base-pairing at the 3rd anti-codon position. The record is from RNAcentral. Lineage: Bacteria; Pseudomonadati; Bacteroidota; Bacteroidia; Bacteroidales. RNAcentral also lists the same sequence under 1 other name.
GUCUCAGUAGCUCAGUUGGUAGAGCAAUUGACUCUUAAUCAAUGGGUCCAGGGUUCGAGUCCCUGCUGGGACA